Molecule: long non-coding RNA, 32865 nt
Filed under: Sorghum bicolor (sorghum)
Lineage: Eukaryota; Viridiplantae; Streptophyta; Magnoliopsida; Poales; Poaceae
Description: long non-coding RNA (SBIC_LNC005623)
Source: RNAcentral
UCACAAAUUAUAGAUAAACUAUGUAAUUAAUUUAGAUUGAUGUGACGAGAAAUCUUGACUUUUUUUUAUUUUAGGUGUAACUAAACAAGACCUCACUCCACUUGGCCAUGGAUGUGGAAGAAGCUUCACUCGCUUUAGCUCACUUUCCUCUCCGCUUUGCAGGUUGCAGGGUAAGGGUAAACACUUUUAUUGUUAGCAGCUGGUCAUCAGAGGAGGGAAAUGCUUCUUAGGCCUUGUUUAGAUACACUCAAAAACCCAAAACUUUACAAGAUUCUUCGUCACAUUGAAUCUUGCGGCACAUGCAUGAAGUAUUAAAUAUAGUUAAAAAGAAUAACUAAUUGCACAGUUUACCUGUAAAUCACGAGACGAAUCUUUUAAGCCUAGUUACUCUAUAAUUAGACAAUGUUUGUCAAAUAAAGACGAAAAUGCUACAGUAUCAAAAUCCAAAAACUUUUUGCAUCUAAACAAGGCCUUACUCCUACUGUCCUACAGUAUUUUUACAACGACCUUGCAUUGCCUGCCUAGCUGCGCUGGCUAUAGCUGCUUGCUUUCCCAAAGGUGUGCUCAUUUUUCGGUGCGCGUGUUGUAGUAGAAUAUUGGGAUAGGAUUCACCCCAUGAUAGAAGAGAAAGGGGCGGCGCUGCUGCUUCGUAUCAUGCCGCUAUCAUUGGAGAGAACGUAUACAUACACUAGCUUGUUGGUUGUUACUGUUACCAAGCAGGGUUUGGUGUAAUUCCUCAUCGAUCUCACAUGCACGUCGGAAAGCGAAUACUGCAUUAAUUACAUAUCUUUCAAUUUGUCCAUAUAUAGCUUGUUUUUUUCUCCAACAUAUUGCAGAGCCGAAUACUAGCUACUACUGGUGUGGUGCCUGUUGUAUGUAUGAUCAGUAUAUGCAUGUGUUAAUCUACUUUGUUUUCCUUUUUUUUCCAACAAAAAAUAAGCAACGAUGAGUAGUGAAAAGGAGAAUAUAUAUAUGCCUGUGAGCCAGUGACAAACGCUGCAGAAAGCGAAGACAUGAACUAGUGGAGGCUCAGCAGGCAAAGGCCAUGUCACUUUGCAGCAAUCAAGCAAGAGAAGGAUGUUCAUAUAUAUGCAUGCUCCCACACAAACACCGAUGCUGCAGCGCGUGUCACCGUGGCGCGCAUGUACGUAUGCAGGGAUAUAUUCUGCUUGUUCAGAGAGCAAGCAUGCAUGCUCUCUGUCUCAUGACACAUGAAAGAAGACCAAUUAAUAAUAGAUCAAUGGACAUCUGAAUUCCGAAAAGCAGCCGUACGUGAGUUUGUAGAAGAGCUGACGAGGCAUUCUGCAGCAUCACUACCAUCAAUUGCUGGACCAAAUAUCACAGCGAGAUGCACUCCACUAUAGAGUCAUAAGUUCUCUCACCGGAACUACAAUUGAGUACGAUUGUUUUUGCCAACGGAGCUGUAGCUUAGUGGUUUUACAGGGCAUUUAGUCAUCUAGUAUCAUCAGGUUAAUUAUGGAGAGAUAGAGAGAAUUUAUCUGAAAACUCAAUGUCACAGUAACCAACAUAAGAGCUUAUGUGACAUUAUUGGUAACAACAUCAUAAAACUCAUCACUAAGCACUGUUUGCUAAACGGCCAUUUAGACCGUUUAAACGCCACGUAAACGCUGCACACAGUGGUACACCAUUUCCGUUUAAUCAUCCGUUUAGCCCGUUUAAUAGACUGCAGGUGACCGACUGUUUAGCGUUUAGAAAAAUCAUUGUCACUAAGACUAACACCGCCCCUUGACUCCUCUCGCCACCGCCAUCAUCAUUUAGGGCCCUUCUCCUUCUUCCUCUUUGAUAAGUCUGUGGAUGGCAAGAAAGAGAAGAUACUCAUAUCACCUUUAUAAUAAAUUUUUAAUUAGUUUUUUUAGGGUUUAGUCCAAAUAAAUUAUCAGUGAAAUCAAAUAUUUUUUUGGUUGGGAUCAUGUUACCGGCGAUAACUUCGAUGAUUGUCAUGAUGAAGCCACCAUUGUAGGCGUUAAUUUCACCACCAUAAAGGUCAAUUUUUUCCAUUAUAUGCCUGAUGUGCUCGUAGGCACUCCCCACGAGGAUACUAACUCUGGGUCAUAAAUCUCAUCGUUAAUGGUUGAGGAGAGAAAACUAAACAUACAAGAGAAAUCAAGGGUGGGAGGUGACGAAUCUCCAACCUAUGUUGUAUCAGAGGAUGCGACAACUGAUAUCUUUUCAUCAUUUCAAAUGCAUUUUAAUUAAAUGAGUUUUGGAACAUUGGUUCUUGCCACGUGUCCAAUGUUUUAAGUUGUUCAUUAGAUUUAAUAUGAGAACUAUAUUUUGGCUUCUAUGUUCGACAAAACUUUGUUCCGCAUCGAGAAAAAGUCACUAGGAAAGAAGUUGAUAGAAGAAUUUAGAUAGAAUAUUAUACCUUUUAUAUUUUUGAUUUUUAUGUGCAACUUAGGGAUAUACUCUUUUAUGUGCAAUUUAGAUAGGUAUGUACUAUGUCGAAUUAAUAUAACCUAUUCCCUUGGCAAAAGAGUAGAUUUUACAUGUGUGAUAUAUAUAGCACGGAAAGGCUACACGUUGUUUCAUUUCAAGAAGAGAUAUGGAUCCUAGGAUUCUACAGCAGCGUCGCCGGCCGGCUCGACCCUCACAACUCACGAGCACCGCACAGACACAUGUGCGGCACCAGUAUGCAUGAGACGGGCGAGGAGUCGUCCCCGUCAUCUGCCGAUCGAUGGCGAAAUGUCUAAUUAAGCUUCGUUAGCGGCGAGCCCUUCCUAGGAAGACUUUGUUUGGUGGCUCGUGCGUGCCUUGUGGCCUUUGUGCCCGUGUGCUCGAUCGCGAAACGCCCCGCGCGGUAGUGCUGCUGGCGCACCUGCGUGUUUGCCCAGUGGCCAGUUUGUGUGUACCAGAAUGAUGGCCGCUUUCGGAAGGGACGACGGCCGGCGUCGGCGAGGAGUCAAGAAACCCAGCUGCUUUUUUUUCGGCAAAAGGACCCCUGCUCGGAAUUGACGGAAUAUAUAUGUGUACUUCCUGUCCGGCCAGGGGAACGUUUCUCUUUCUUUUGCCAGAAUAUAUGCAUUGGUUUCGUGUCGGCAGACAUGCAUGCGCAUACGAUGCGAGAGCAAUAGGAUUCCUUAUUGUCCUCACGACGAGUCACGAGUUCUCACUUGGAGUCAACAAAAUCGUCUCUCUUUUCAUGAGCUGUUUAUAAGCAGUGUAGGUCCAUUUGUUUUUAGACGGAUGAAGUAUAAACUUAUGAUAUACAGUAAUUGCAUCAACUAAGGAUAUGCAUCCAUCAUAUCCAUAUACAACUAUUAAACACUACAAAUAUAUAUCCAGCUAAAGUGGUCUGCAUAAAUAGCGUUCUUUUAUUUAUUAGUUUAAAUAGUUGUGUUUAUUUGUUUGUUUGUUUAAGAUUGUCAUGUCUGCGUUUAAGCAGAGCCACUGGUUGAUUCAUCAUGGCACCAACACACAUUCAUACUAUGCCUUCUCAAAUACAGUAAGUUGUAGAACAUUUGACGCGGAUUCCGGUUACAUAUACCAGUCACUACUGGAAACUACAUUAUCCCUGUGUGCCAAAAAACCAUCAAGGAAAUGGAAAAAACCGUCAAAAUAAUUAAUUCUGUCGGUAGACCGACAGGCAUAUCCCGUCAAGGAUAGAUUGACAGAGAAAUGAUAUUUGCCUGUGAGCCACCCGACAGAAAUAUUUUUCUGACGGUAUUUCCUUGACGGAUGCCUGACAGAACAAAUGUAGCGACCGGAGGUGCGGCACGUUGUCAGCAACCGUCAGGUUAAUUGAUUUCCCUGUAGGCUUACUAUCAGGGAUAUUGUUAAUUUCUUUAUGGGUUUUAGUAUCUUUUCUGUCAGUCGACUCUCAAGGAAAUAAAGAAAAUUCUGUGGGAUGGGAAGUUAUUCCCUAUCGGUUUUCCAUCAAUGAAAUAUUUAGUUUCUAUUAGUUCAACCAAAUUUUCUUGAUGGUUUCCCCUCAAGGAAAUCGCAACUGGAUUUUUCCUAUAUUACAGGAAAAUAUCACAAUUACAUGUUUUGUUCCAAAUACACCAAACAAUAAAUUAUAAGCACAGAACAAUAAUCAUUCAUAUAUAUUAGAAGUUCCAUAAAAGCUUACAAAGUAUUCAACAUGGGCCAACAUAACAAAGGUUCUGCCCUCACAAAUUACACCUCACUAAGUUCUACUACUAGCACCAUAUGCUGCUACUAAUUUAUACAUGUACAGCCAUGUCACCUACCACAACAUCCUAGUUUUAGCCAAGUCCAUCUAACAUUCAGUUACUACUAAGUUACCAUCCACAGCCAUACAUGUUCAGAAGACAAAAGACAGCCACCAACUUAUGUUGUUCAGUGGACAAAAGUCACUUUGACAACCCAUGUGCUAUUUCUCCCAAUAGCAACCUUACCAUAUGUAUCCCAAAUCACAGAAAUCAUCGAUGUUUGAUCCAGCAUUGCUGGCCCCAUUGUUGUCGUCGAUGUCCUCUUCAUCCCUGUCCUCUUCAUCCCCUUCGUCCUCCUCAUACAUCUCUUCAUUCAUGUCCUCAUCCUUGUCCUCUCCUUCCAUGUAGCUACCAUCCAUGUCCUCUUCGUCCUCUCCAUCCAUGUCCUCACCAUCCAAGUCCAACAAAGAGAAAUAGGGCACUAUGCAUAAAAAUAGGGCACUAUGCAUAAGUAUGAAAUCUAUGGCCGACCAUACAUGAUCCGAUGAGUAUGAAAUAUAUACUAUAGUUCAAGCAUAGAAUAAUUAGUCCACCAUAAAAAUUCACCACAAUUGGACAACAGAAGGUGCAGCUAUGAAUUAUUCCAAUUAAUUACAGAUAAAAUAUAUUUUUUCUAACUAAUUUAAAGCUAUAGAAAAAAUUUGUACUAAAGUAUACCUUCCCUCCUCUAUGGCCGGCACGAGCUCCCUCUCCGUCGAGGUCUUCUCCAAAGAGCGCAUGGCACCGACGUCUCCAUACCAUGCCGGCAGCCACACGGUGAGUCCCAAUCUGACCUCUAAUUUUGGAUUAUGGAACCCUAGAGCCGUUCGAUUUUGAUUGAGUCCUGCUGGUGCAAGGGCUUUUCUGUCCUGUAUGUGCGCAAGGAACAGAUGGAUAUUGCUAUCAGUUCCUAGGCCAACAUACGCCUCGCCUACGAACCUUGCUCCCUGCUCUACCUGCCCACCAUCUGUUCAGUCAAAAGCCUCAACUCAAAGCUUUUGUUUUUUUUCAUAGGAUCUUCUUUAAUUGGGUUCAAAAGCUAGCUUAUCUCACUUUUUAUUCUGUGUAUCCGUCUCUAGACGGAGUUGAUGGAUUUUCGCUUGUUUUAUGAGGGAUCUUUAUGUUUAGGAUUCAAAUUAGAGGGUGGUUUUGAGUCCCUGUCUGUUGCUGGUUAUUAUCUCUGGAGGCAGCAUGAUCUAAUUUUGGACCUUUGUAUAUGGACCAUCAGAGUUGUGUGUUUGUGGUCGAGGAAACCGUGGUGCAGGAGCCAGUGACGGAUGCACCGUUGGUUCAUGGAGAUAGAUAAAGGUGAGAUGGUUCUAUACUUCUAUAUCUCAUGAUUGUGUUUUUUAUAAUGCUCUGUUGAUUUUGUGUGGGAUUGUUUCUUAUUUCUAAGCACACUGUAGUUAGUGUCAAAGAAAUUUGUAUUGGGGAAAUAUGGUCACGAGUUUUACUGGUUAAGCCUUUGUAAUAACUUUGGUUUCCUAUGAGUAUCUUCUUGCAUGCAGCAUGCAAUUUUUAGUCUUCAGAUUUUUCAAGGAUGGGAUUUUCAGUAUCCCGCAGACUUGUUUGAUUUCAUCAUAUUAUUUUAUCAUCAGCCUAGAACUUUAUGACAUGUUUAAUGUCUGCUUGUUCUUUCUAUUUCUCUAUCUGGUGAAUUGCUUCACAAAAUCUCAAUAUAACUGUUAAGCAUGCUCCAAAAAGAUUUGAUCUGAAAGAGCAUCUAGGCCCCUAGUGGUUUCGGUGAUUAAUGACAUUGUUGAUUACUAUGACUAACGUGUGUUUUGCAGAGGCAAAGUCAUAGGUAAGGUCAUGGUAAAUAGGUACUCGAUGGACAGGGACGUACAUGCCAACUUAAUAGUGGAAAUCGUUUCGGUUUUCAAAGGAUGGAUGGACAUCGUCAAGACUAGACUAGGUCUAAGUGCCAUAUGGUGAAGAAGGGCACUUAGAGUAGUUUAGGACUUUGUUUUUCCUUUGACCGUACUAUUAAGAGGAGCUUUGAUCUAGUAGCUUGACUUAGGCAAGGCUUUAGGUUUAGGUGUGGUGCACACUUGGUAAACCUAGCACUAGGCAGCUCAGAGAUAGUCCUUAGAUCGAGAGGAACAAACUUCGUGUUGGAGCGAUCGCGUUUCGACGAAGUUUGGGUGCCCAAAGGGGCACCGGACGCUCUGUGAGUGCGUCCGGUGAGGUCCUUAGCCGUUGGAACAGGCCAGUGCUUAGGGUUAGGCAUCGGACGCUAGCACCGGACGCACCGGGUAGCGUCCGGUCCCUUACCCAGGGAGCUUGCAACGUUUCCCUGAGCACCGGACGCUAGCACCGGACGCACCGGGUAGCGUCCGGUCCCAUGCACAGGGAGCUUGUAAAGUUUCCCCGAGCACCGGACGGUGCACCGGACGCUGCGAGCUAGCGUCCGGUGACCUGUCAGAGGAGGUACAGGUAGCCGUUAUGUCACACCGGACGCUCGGUGCAGUGCGUCCGGUGACCCCGUUUUCAGUGGAAAACGGUUGGCCGACCUUUGGACUUUGUGGAUAGUAUUUAUACUCCUCCACCUCGUCCAUGAGAUCUCUCUUGCCCAUUUGAACAUCAGAGAAACUUGUUUGUGGAGCAAGAGAGUUGCAAGAGCCUAGAGAGGAUUGAGAUUUGAGUGUUUUCUUGAGAGAAUCCUCCUCUAGUGAGUUUCAAGAGUCAAGUGUGCAUCCACCACUCUCUAGUGCCUUGUUUGGGUCAAGUGAGAGUUCUUUGCUUGUUACUCUUGGUGAUCGCCAUCACCUAGACGGUUCGGUGGUGAUUGGAGGCACGAAGACCACCCGGAGUUCUUGUGGGUGGCUCGUGUCAAGCUUGUGAGCGGUUUUGGGCGAUUCACCGCGACGGAGUGUCGAAGAAUCAGCCCGUAGAGAGCACUUGGUCCUUGCGCGGACCAAGGGGGAGCAAGACCCUUGCGCGGGUGCUCCAACGAGGACUAGUGGAGAGUGGCGACUCUCCGAUACCUCGGCAAAACAUCGCUGAGCAUUUUCUUUCACUACUUCUUUACUUUCUAGCAUUUACUUUGUGCUUUUACAUUCUUAGAAUUGCCAUGCUAGAAUAGGAUUGGAACUAGGUUGCAAAACUUUUAUCCGGUAGCUCUCUAAGUCACACUAGGCACAAGGGGUUGAAUUGGAGCUUAUAGGUUGCUUAAAUUUUUAGAGAAGCCCAAUUCACCCCCCCUCUUAGAGAAUAGGAUUGGAACUAGGUUGCAAAACGCUAUCACCUAGUGAUGAACAAGCUUAAUACAUUUGAAAUGCUUCCUAAAGAAAAUGCUAAUGAAAUGUAUUCUCGAUUGAAUGUCAUUGUAGAGGAGCUAAAUGGACUUGGGCUUACACAAAUGAGUACGGCGGAUGUAGCAAGGAAGAUACUAUGUGUGCUUCCCAUUGAGAAAUAAGGGCACAUAGUAACCGUGCUUCAUCAAGGCGAUCUUUCCACCGCUACACCAACCACCAUAUUGGGAAAGAUCAAUGCUCAUGAGAUGUACAUGCAUAUGAACCCUCAAGAUGGCUCCUCGUUGGCCAAGAAAGAAAAGAAGGACUUGGCUCUCAAAGCUUCUCACAAGGGCAAAGCCAAGAAGAUUGAAGUUGAGUCAUCAACUUCAAGUGAUGAUGAUGCAUCUAUUGCCCUCUUGGUGAGAAGAACCACAAAGAUGUUGAAGAAGCUCAACAAGAAUGGAGUCAACUUUGACUCCAAGAAGAAGAAGUUCUUCACAAGUAGCAAGAGGAAGCCCAUCUCCGAGAUGGAUUGCUACAAUUGUGGUGAGCUUGGUCAUCUUGCUCAUCAAUGUCCAAAGCCCAAGAAGGACAAGUACAAGAAGAAGAACAAAGAGCAAGAUGACUCAAGUGAUGAUGAGAAGAAUGACAAGAAGCAAUACAAGAAGAAAGGUGGCAAGAAGAAGGAGCACUACAAGAAGAAAAAUGGCAAGGCUUAUAUUGUUGGUGAUUGGCUCACCGACAUUGAAAGCUCAAGUGGUGACUCAUUCGGCAAUGAGAGUGAUGAUGAGAAGGUUGCCGCCAUUGCCAUUGAUGCUCCAUCACCAUCAUCUUUACCACCAUCUACAUCCUCUACACACCUAUGCCUUAUGGCUAAGGGUGACCGGAAGGUACAAAGUGAGGAUGAGAGUAGUGAGAGUGAUAGUGAAUAUGAAUCACCUUCUUAUGAUGAACUUGUAAAAUUACUAAACAAGUACACUAAAGUCAUAAGAAAAUCUAGAUGUGAAAAUGAAAAGCUUGAACUUGAAAAUGAAACACUUCUAGCAAAGCUUAAGUCUAGUGAUGAGCUUAGAGAUCAAAAUGAAAUCAUGACCACUAAGCUCAAGGAGCUCAAACUCUCUCUAAAAGAGCUCAAAGAAAAACAUGAUAAACUUGAGAGUGUUCAUGAUGAGCUUAUCACUAGAUAUAGAGCAAUGAAAGAAGAGCUAACAACUCUAAAAGCAAACUAUGACAACCUUGAGAUCGCUUAUGAACUUGCAAUUGAUGAAAAACAUGUUGCUACUAACAAUGUUGCUAAGCUUGAUGUAGCCACAUCUUGUGAUGACUUACUUGUGGAGAGCACAAGCAAAUGUGUUGAUUGCAAGGGCAAGAAAGUGGUAGUGGCCGAGAGUUAUGAGGACACUAUCAAGCUCAAGGAUGAAAUUGUCAUGCUCAAAAAAGAGUUGCAAGAACAAGCCAAGCACAAGGCAAGUGUGAUUGAGUCACUUGAUCAAGACAAGAAGCUUGCAUAUGAGAACAAGUUACUCAAGGAAGAAAAUCAAUAUCUCAAGCUUGGUUUGAUGUAUGACAAGCAAGAAGAAGAUGAGACAUUCAUCUUGGAUGAGUUAGCUAGCAACAAUGACCCAAUCAUCAAGAAGCUAACUCAAGAGAACAACAAGCUCAAGAAAGAGAAGGAACAUCUAACCAUGGGGUUAGCAAAGUUCACAAGGGGGAAGGACCUUCAAAGUGAGCUUUUCAUGAACACCGUCAUGAAGAUGGACAAGAGUGGGAUUGGCUAUAAAGCUCAUCAAACAAAGCUCAUCAAGUCUCUAGCCACUCAUGAUCAAGCAAGCAAGCCAAAGCCAAAAAGAUGUUUUGAGUGUGGUCAAGAAGGACACUUUGCUCAUGAGUGUAAGGCACCACUACCACCAUCCUUGCCCAAGCAUGCAAGACCAUUUGCCUUCAAUGCUCAUUACAUUGUAAGAAAAGACAAGUGUGGCAAGGUCAAGGUUAGCUUCAUGGGGCCACCAAACAAGCAAAGGCCAAAGAAGAUUUGGGUGCCAAAGCAACUAGUAGAGAAGGUCAAGGGCCCUAAACAAAUGUGGGUCCCUAAAUCUCAAGCUUGAUCUCUUGUGUGUAGGUGAACUACAAGACCGGUGGAUCACACUGGGUAAUUGAUAGUGGUUGCACUCAACAUAUGACCGGAGAUCCCCGGAUGUUCACCUCUCUUGAUGAAGAUGUUGAUAACCAAGAGAAGAUCACAUUUGGUGACAAUUCAAAAGGGAAAGUCAAGGGACUAGGAAAGGUUGCUAUUUCAAAUGACAACUCCAUCACCAAUGUGCUCUAUGUGCAAUCUUUGAGUUUCAACUUGCUCUCGGUUGGACAACUUUGUGAUCUUGGAUUUGAAUGCUUAUUCAAGAAGAAGGAAGUAAUUGUGACCAAAGAAGAUGACAAUGAAGUAAUUUUCAAAGGCUUCCGGCACAACAACUUAUAUGUAGUUGAUUUCUCAUCAAAUGAAGUUGAUGUCAAGACUUGCUUAUUCACCAAGACUUCACUUGGGUGGUUGUGGCAUAGAAGGUUAGCGCAUGUUGGAAUGGGCACACUCAAGAAGUUGAUGAAGAAAGAAUUGAUUAGAGGCUUAAAGGAUGUGACAUUUGAAAAGGACAAGCUAUGUAGUGCAUGUCAAGCGGGCAAACAAGUUGCAAACACUCAUCCAACCAAAGCCUAUCUCUCUACUUCAAGAGUGCUUGAGCUACUUCACAUGGAUUUGUUUGGACCAACCACAUAUGCUAGUCUUGGAGGAAACAAAUAUUGUUUGGUCAUAGUUGAUGAUUUCUCCCGGUACACUUGGACAUUCUUCUUGCAAGACAAGGCCGAAGUUGCAUCAAUAUUCAAGAAGUUUGCAAAGAAUGCCCAAAAUCAAUUUGAUGUGAAGAUCAAGAAAAUUAGAAGUGACAAUGGCAAAGAGUUUGACAACACCAACAUUGAAGAGUAUUGUGACGAAGUGGGAAUCAAGCAUGAGUUCUCCUCAACAUAUACACCACAACAAAAUGGGGUUGUAGAAAGAAAGAACCGGACAUUGAUUACCUUGGCAAGAACAAUGCUAGAUGAGUACAACACUUCGGAGAAGAUGUGGGCCGAGGCAAUCAACACCGCAUGCUAUGCUUCAAACCGGCUCUUUCCUCACAAGUUCCUAGAGAAGACACCAUAUGAGUUGCUCAAUGGGAAGAAGCCCGAUGUCUCAUUCUUUAGAGUGUUUGGGUGCAAGUGCUACAUCUACAAGAAGCGCCAACACUUGGGAAAGUUCCAAAGGAGAUGUGACAUUGGCUACUUGGUUGGCUAUUCAUCAAAGUCCAAAGCAUAUAGGGUCUUUAACCAUGCCACAAACAUGGUUGAAGAAACAUUUGAUGUUGAUUUGAUGAAACUAAUGGCUCCCAAGGAGCAAGUGAUAAUCUUGAUGAUGUAGGUGGUGAACCAUUGAGGGAUGCCAUGAAGAACAUGCCGGUGGGAGACAUCAAGCCUAAAGAAGAUGAUGAUGAUAUGCAAGUCAUUGAGCCACCAUCCACCUCACAAGGUCCACAAGAUGAAGACAAGGAUGUGAGAGAUGCUCAUGAAGACACUCAAGUCACUCAUGAGCAAGCGGUGGCACAAGCACAGGAUGUUGAUGCUCCCCAACCAACCCCUCAAGUGGCACCAAGAAGAACAUCACAUCUCCUCCAAGAUCACUCUCAAGAUCUUAUCAUCGGGAGUCCAUCACGUGGUGUAACUACUCGUUCUAGACAUGCUUUAUUUAUUGAACAUCACGCUUUUGUGUCUCUUGAAGAUGAACCAAAGACUAUAGAGGAAGCUCUUCGUGAUGUGGAUUGGAUCAUGGCCAUGCAAGAGGAGUUGAAUAACUUCACUCGCAACCAAGUAUGGACACUUGAAGAGCGACCCAAAGAUGCAAGAGUGAUUGGAACAAAGUGGGUCUUCCGGAACAAGAAGGAUGAUCAAGGCAAAGUGGUGCGCAACAAGGCAAGACUUGUGGCAAAAGGCUUUUCACAAGUGGAAGGUCUUGACUUCGGUGAAACCUUUGCGCCGGUGGCAAGACUUGAAGCAAUCCGUAUCCUACUUGCAUAUGCAUCAAGUCAUGAUAUCAAACUAUUUCAAAUGGAUGUGAAAAGUGCCUUUUUAAAUGGUUAUAUUAAUGAGCUUGUCUAUGUUGAGCAACCCCCCGGUUUUGAAGACCCUAGGUACCCCAAGCAUGUCUACCGGUUGUCCAAGGCACUCUAUGGUCUCAAGCAAGCUCCUAGAGCUUGGUAUGAGAGGCUUAGGGACUUCCUCAUUGAGAAGGGUUUCAAGAUUGGGAAAGUUGACACAACACUCUUCACCAAGAAAAUGAAUGGGGAAAUCUUCAUUUGCCAAGUUUAUGUUGAUGAUAUUAUUUUUGGCUCUACUAAUGAAGAUUUUUGCAAGGAAUUUGGUGAUUUGAUGUCCAAGGAGUUUGAGAUGUCCAUGAUUGGCGAGCUAUCCUUCUUCCUAGGAUUUCAAGUCAAGCAAAUGAAGGAAGGAGUCUUUAUCUCACAAGAGAAGUACACUCAAGAUCUUCUCAAGAGGUUCAAGAUGAUGGAUUGCAAGCCAAUCAAGACUCCCAUGGCAUCAAAUGGGCAUCUUGACUUGGAUGAGGGAGGUAACCCUAUUGACAAGACUCUCUAUCGCUCCAUGAUAGGAAGUCUACUAUACCUCACCGCAUCUAGGCCCGAUAUAAUGUUUAGUGUGUGUAUGUGUGCAAGAUAUCAAGCAAUGCCUAUGGAAUCUCACUUGAUUGCGGUCAAGAGAAUUCUUAGGUAUCUAAAAUACACACCUUGCCUAGGCUUGUGGUAUCCCAAAUGUGCAAGAUUCCAACUUGUAGGCUAUUCCGAUUCGGAUUAUGCCGGGUGCCGGAUUGAUAGAAAAAGCACAUCCGGAGGGUGCCACUUCCUAGGUAGAUCUCUUGUCUCUUGGAUGUCAAAGAAACAAAAUAGUGUUGCUUUGUCAACGGCCGAGGCGGAAUACAUUGCCGCCGGUGCUUGUUGUGCACAAAUACUUUACAUGAAACAAACUUUGCUAGACUAUGGAGUAGUACUAGACAAAGUACCUUUGUUGUGUGACAACGAAAGUGCCGUAAAACUUGCAAACAACCCGGUUCAACACACCCGCACAAAACAUAUUGACAUCCGCCACCACUUUCUUAGGGAUCACGUUGCUAAAGGUGACAUAUCCCUAGAGAAUGUGGGAACGGAAAAUCAAUUGGCGGAUAUCUUCACAAAACCCCUAGAUGAAGCUAGGUUUUGUAUGUUGAGAAAUGAACUUAAUGUGCUUGACUUGUCUAACUUUACUAAAAGAUAAAAGUUGUGUGUUGAAACUUCUAAAUAACUUUUGCUUUGCAUAUCAUGCAUGCUAAAACUAAAAAUACAACUUGUUUGUAGGGCUUGUCUAACAUGGUUAAGAUAACCCCCUUGAGUGUGUGAAAAAGCUUAACCUUGGAUCAAACUUGACAAGCAUUAGUUUACUUUCAAGUUUUGCAUUACAACUCAUUUCAUAUGCACGCUUGUUGGUUGACCGUUUCUUUUCGGUUACUCUUUGAGCAUCCGCUGUGUUCGUCCAUAGAUAGGGGGAGCAUUCAAAGCUCAUUAUGAUUUAAACCCCUAGCUUUAUGGCCAUACGAUGCUCCUUGGUGAUUUUCUCGAACUAUUUUCACAAAAAUCUACUAAGCCUAUGGCUAAUUAUUUGUGAAAACUUGAGGGUUUGAGAGAGGUCACUCAUACCAGUUCCAUUUGGUAUUUAUUUGUGUGCUUUUGAAGAUGGAACUUGGUUGGGUCAAAGUCGGACGUAGUGCUUAGUUGAAAAAGUGCUCAGAGGAGCACCGGACGGUGCACCGGACGCUACCUCUGAGCGUCCGGUGCGGUGAGUGUGCCAGACUGCACUCACCGGACGCAGGAACAGUAUCCCUGUAGCGUCCGGUGCGGUGCGUCCGGUGCUCACCUGGCGUGACCUGAAGCACCGGACGCUAAAGCCAGCGUCCGGUGCCCAUCGUCCGGUGCAAUGCCAAAACGCAAACCUCUCUGCGCAUGAGUCCGGUGGUCACCGGACGCGUCCGGUGACCCCGCGGCGGGCGCAUAAAGCCCGCGCCCAGGGGCUUCGCGCGGCCGAUUCUUUUCUUUUCCGCCGCCGUCGACCGAGCCUCCCCGUGCCCUAAGUCGCCGGAACUCGCCGCCGCCGACAUUGUCCUUGUCUCCGGCGUCCUCGAACCUCGCCCUCGCGCCAGAUCCGCCCAAAAUCUUUCUUCUGCCCUUCCCUUCGAGUGGAUCUGCGAAUCUCGAAGAGAUUCAAGGGUUUGGGUAAGAUCCUUGAUCUUUGCCCUUAAGGUGAUUGUCUUAAUGUCUCAACGGAUUAGAAAAAGGGUUUUUGACUCCGAUCUUCUUCGUUAACCCAGUGCAGCACCUUAAAGAGGAGGUUCGCGUUCUCCGGCAGUUUCCGAUCGUGAUAUCUCUUCCGGAUUGCGUCUCGUCUGUCGAUCGUAAGCCGUUCGCGUCCAUAUCUUAUCUUUUCUCGUGAUCCAUAGGCUUAUCUCAUCUCUAGUCGAUACGAUUGCUUAAAUAGACCUUAUCUUGUCAAUUCUCUGCAGUACAUUGUUCUCCCUUGCCGGUCAGUUGCUUGUCGGAUGCUUGAUUUACUAUGGCUCGUAGAACGUCAGUGGACCGACAGCCGGCUCAGGAGGUUCCCCAGGAGGCGAUGGUGGAGGUGAUCCUCCUCGUCGUUUCUCAGCGGCAGAGAAAGGCAAGGGAAAGAAGCUGGCCACCAAGAAGCGCAAGGCCAGUGACAGAGAUGCAGAGGUCGCAGAGGCAGUAGCAGCAGCAGCAGAGGCCGCAGAGAGAUGUGGCAGAGCAGGUGCCUUGAGGAUUGGGGAUGAUCUUACGCCACGUCAGAGGCGUGCAGUGCUUGAGGCAGAGGCUUUUCAUGGAUCUCCUCCAGGCACCGUGACGAUUGGAGGACAGAGGGUCAGGCUCGUGGUUAGAGAUCCAGCUUAGGAGGGUCCGGACACUGAGACUGAGACCCAGGCAGAGGUUCCAGCAGAGGGACAGGAGCAGGAGCCGCCACUGAGGAGGUCGACUCGUGCUCGUACUCAGGCCACUCCCCGGACUGGUACGCAGGGUCAGUCCACUUCCACAGCUCGUGCCACACCAGCGAGAGGUACACUAGCUUCACGCCCGAGGCCAGUCAGGAUCCACAGGGAUCUUUCUCUUGUGUCAGCCAGAGAGAUCCAGCAGCUGAGGUUCGUUCCGUUUCCCACCUGGUUUCCAGCUGCCAGGGAUCCUAGAGCCGAUGCCAGGUUCUACACAGUCAUCCAGGAGGACAUCUAUGAGGCACUGGUUCGCUCUCAGGCUCAGUUCAGGGAGCAUAGAGUGAUCGACCUGGAGAUACUGGGGAACGUGGUUGGAGCUGAUAUUCGCCAGUACUCUACCUACCUCCACGGACUUCUAGAGUUACUAGCACUCCCCAGGACUUACUGUGAGCAGUGGGUCAGAGAGUUCUACGCGUCAGUGUGGGUUUCUCCAGAUCACAGCUAUAUCCACUACGCACUGGCGGGGACAGACUAUAGAGUGACAGCUCAGAGGGCCAGAGAGGUGCUUGGACUGCGAGCCUCUCCCACCAGGAUUCACCAGCUGUGCUACGGGAACGUGGAUCCCCCUCGUCGUCCUCACGGUGGUGAGAUCCCACCAGUUGACUUCGUGGCUCCCUGUUUCCGUGCACCUUUUGGGGAGGGCUGCAGCAGGACAAUGGCAGACUUAACUCGCCCAGCCAGGAUCCUCGACUUUGUGUUGAGGAAGACUCUUCUCCCCAGGACAGGCUACAGAGACGGAUUCACUCGUAUACAGCAGUGGCUCGUCGCUCACCUUAUCUCCCAGACAGAGUUUGACUUGUGGGAUCUGAUCGUCUCAGAGAUAGAGGACACCAUCUCAGAGAGCUUCAGGGGCCGGCGUCAGUUGCCCUACGCACAUUGGAUCACCCUGCUUAUACUUCGUGCUAGGCCACUGCCCCUGCCAGCUCACUUGCAGAGGGAGUUGACAGAGUCAGACACCGUCUUCCCCCACUACGACCCCCGGUAGAUGUUGAGAGUGCACCACGACCUUCGCGGUGCACCUCCUCCUCGUGCUCCACGUGGACCGGUGCCCCCACCUUCUCCUAGGGGCACCCGCAGUACAACAGCCGUUGCAGAGACAGAGGAGCAGCAUGAUAUCACUAUUGGGGCGUUCGCUGAUGCAGAGGCAGAGGGCGAGUUUGACUUCGCUUCAGACAGUUCAGACGAUGACUAUCAGCCGCCAGUGACUGACCUUCCUCCCAGAGCUCACGACCACGAGGCAGGCGGUUCGUCGAGUGCUUCAGACCCCGCCCUGCGUGCUAUUCUAGAGGGGAUGAGGGCAGAUCAGCGCCGUGCAGCUGAGGAGCAGGCGAGGCGCGAUAGGGAUCAGGCUGCCAUUAAUGCAGCCAUGCAGGCCAGGCAAGAUGAGCUCCAGCGUCAGCUACUCACCUUUCAGGAGCAGCAGCUUGCUUUCCAGGCCCAGCAGACAGCGAUGAUGGCCGCUCUCAUGGCCGCCUCCGGGAUUCAGCUACCGCAGAUUCAGCUCCCAGGCACGUCGUCAGUCAGGCCUCCUACUCCUGCGCCCCAGACUCAGAGCCCGUCUCAGCAGCCGCUCCAGCUACCAGCUCAGAGUCAGCCGUUCUCGACGCCACAGCACCAGGUCUCUCAGGGUGCUAUCUCUUCAGACUUUGAGCAGGUACCGCGGUUUACCCCUCUCCGCUCAGGCUUCACCCCUCAGUCAGCUUCAGCGUCACAGCUUGUGUGGGACUCGCAGACAGAUCCGCACCUCAGCUUCACCUACAGUGCUCUGACUGGUGACCCUACGCCUCCUCCUCUGCAGGCUCCUGCAGUCUUUACGGCGCCAGUUACCACUACAGAGCUUCUGUCGUCGUCAGUAGCGUCGUCCGAGCAGCUUGCACCGUCUUCUACCAUUCCAGAGACGACAGCUACAGCGACCGAGUCCAUGCCAGCCUCGUCAGCCGAACUUGAGCAGCCAGCACAGCCUGUGACAGCGCCAGAGCAGACCCGGACCGCUUCUCCAGCACCUGCACCUUCAGAGGGUCACUCCACCUCCUCCACCUCGACGGCCGAUACUUCAGAUGAUGCAGCUCGCUUCGUGGCCGCACCGAGGGAUGCACCUCCUCCGCCUCCUCCACCGUCUUCUUAGGUUUUUGGCGCUUGAUGCCAAAGGGGGAGAGAGUGCGUAUGAGAGAGUUAGGGAGAGCUAGAGUUAGGGGGAGCUAGAGAGGGAGUUUAUUCUUUUGUUUGAGAUACUUUCUAUGUGUGCUAUCAUCAUGCAUCAUGUUUACCUUUAUGCAUUGCACUUGUGUGAGAUACUACUGGUUUAUGAGACAUGAUCUGUGCUUAAUAUGAUAUCUUUAUGUCAUGUGUUUUGGCUCAUACUACUUUUGCUUCCGCGUUGUACUUCGAUAUUCUUAUGAGCCUAGCGUUUAUAUCCUGUCGUAUAUCACUCACAUAUUUGGAUGCAGGGUAUUGGUUCUGGUUGAUAUAAGCAUGACUAAUCCUUUGUUCCUAUUGUAAUAUGCUUAUUGAAACCAAGUCACUUUAAAAACCUCAACUCUUUUCAUACUCGAGGUUGUCAUCAAUCACCAAAAAGGGGGAGAUUGAAAGAGCAUCUAGGCCCCUAGUGGUUUCGGUGAUUAAUGACAUUGUUGAUUACUAUGACUAACGUGUGUUUUGUAGAGGCAAAGUCAUAGGUAAGGUCAUGGUAAAUAGGUACUCGAUGGACAGGGACGUACAUGCCAACUUAAUAGUGGAAAUCAUUUCGGUUUUCAAAGGAUGGAUGGACAUCGUCAAGACUAGACUAGGUCUAAGUGCCAUAUGGUGAAGAAGGGCACUUAGAGUAGUUUAGGACUUUGUUUUUCCUUUGACCGUACUAUUAAGAGGAGCUUUGAUCUAGUACUUGACUUAGGCAAGGCUUUAGGUUUAGGUGUGGUGCACACUUGGUAAACCUAGCACUAGGCAGCUCAGAGAUAGUCCUUAGAUCGAGAGGAACAAACUUCGUGUUGGAGCGAUCGCGUUUCGACGAAGUUUGGGUGCCCAAAGGGGCACCGGACGCUGCACCGGACGCUCUGUGAGUGUGUCCGGUGAGGUCCUUAGCCGUUGGAACAGGCCAGUGCUUAGGGUUAGGCACCGGACGCUAGCACCGGACGCACCGGGUAGCGUCCGGUCCCUUACCCAGGGAGCUUGCAACGUUUCCCUGAGCACCGGACGCGAGCACCGGACGCACCGGGUAGCGUCCGGUCCCAUGCGCAGGGAGCUUGUAAAGUUUCCCCGAGCACCGGACGGUGCACCGGACGCUGCGAGCUAGCGUUCGGUGACCUGUCAGAGGAGGUACAGGUAGCCGUUAUGUCACACCGGACGCUCGGUGCAGUGCGUCCGGUGCAACAUAAUGUGCGUCCGGUGACCCCGUUUUCAGUGGAAAACGGUUGGCCGACCUUUGGACUUUGUGGAUAGUAUUUAUACUCCUCCACCUCGUCCAUGAGAUCUCUCUGGCCCAUUUGAACAUCAGAGAAACUUGUUUGUGGAGCAAGAGAGUUGCAAGAGCCUAGAGAGGAUUGAGAUUUGAGUGUUUUCUUGAGAGAAUCCUCCUCUAGUGAGUUUCAAGAGUCAAGUGUGCAUCCACCACUCUCUAGUGCCUUGUUUGGGUCAAGUGAGAGUUCUUUGCUUGUUACUCUUGGUGAUCGCCAUCACCUAGACGGUUCGGUGGUGAUUGGAGGCACGAAGACCACCCGGAGUUCUUGUGGGUGGCUCGUGUCAAGCUUGUGAGCGGUUUUGGGCGAUUCACCGCGACGGAGUGUCGAAGAAUCAGCCCGUAGAGAGCACUUGGUCCUUGCGCGGACCAAGGGGGAGCAAGACCCUUGCGCGGGUGCUCCAACGAGGACUAGUGGAGAGUGGCGACUCUCCGAUACCUCGGCAAAACAUCGUCGAGCAUUUUCUUUCACUACUUCUUUACUUUCUAGCAUUUACUUUGUGCUUUUACAUUCUUAGAAUUGCCAUGCUAGAAUAGGAUUGGAACUAGGUUGCAAAACUUUUAUCCGGUAGCUCUCUAAGUCACACUAGGCACAAGGGGUUGAAUUGGAGCUUAUAGGUUGCUUAAAUUUUUAGAGAAGCCCAAUUCACCCCCCCCUCUUGGACAUCUUGAUCCUUUCAUGAUCUUUUAAUUGUUUAACCUCUGAUUUAGCCUCUGAUAUAGGUAGGCCUUUUUACUUAACAAGGUAAGGCCUCUAAUUAUAUGUUAAAAUAACAUAAGUUAAUUUUUUGUAAAUAUCACUUGCAUAUGUGCCUGGUAGAUGCUCACUAUUCUGAACUUUGAAGAUGAAAAUGUCAAGCUGCAUACUAACAUUGAUCACAACUUCACAAGGACUCCACCAUAAUCCAGCUUAGUUAAUGCAAUAAUUUUGUGCCCUUAAUAUUGUGUUGGCAUCCUUCUUUUGACCUCACAAAUUUAGCUCCGCUAGCAUAAUCCAUCUUCUAGAAGGAUGUGUGCUUCCUUAAAAUUUGUCAGCUACUAGAAAUUUGAAGCUAAUUUACUUUUGCAGACUGUAUUAGUAGUAUUUUGUGUUUCAUCUGUAAUUUUGCCAAUUAGCUGAGAAAGUAAUUCUGAAAUAGUGAAGGAUGGAACUAGUCUAACUUUGUGCCUGCCUGUAAUGCACACUUUUUUCAGGAACUUCUAGCUGCUGCUAGCCAACAGCUUGUCAACAACAAUGUGUAGCCAAGCAAUCCAAUUAGAGUUUUUGACGAAGAUGGUUGCCACGGAUAGCAUCUACUAUGUUAAGCUAGGAUAACAUUGUGUUCAUUGUGUUCAUUAGCUAGGAUUAGCCAUGCUAUUGAUCAUCAGCUAUAUGUUCAAACAAGGACUAGUAUAAAUUUUGGUGUGUGGCUACUCCAAAUUUGUGUACAUGAUUUUAAUAUGGCAUCCAUCUUGAAUGUUUGAUCCAAUGUCUAUGAGUUCCAGAUAUAUAAGGUUUUAUUUUUUUAAUCCUAUUCAAUUGAUCUCAAUGGACUGUCAGUUGCUAAAAGUUCAUAUUGCAAUGAACUGUCUGUUGCUAAAUGUUCUAACAUGCCGUCCGUUGCUAAAAGCAGGGGCGAUGGACGGUCCGUCGCUAAAGAUGAAGUCUGUCGCUAUAUACAUACAACCACGGCUUCAACAGCAACUGCUGAGGUCCGUCGCUAUAACUUUUAGCCACAGACCGUCCAUCGUUAUACACCCCUUACGGCAACUUAAAAUCAGUCGCUGAUUAAGGGCGGUGGCGGUGGUGGGGUGCGUCGGCUGGGCGUGGAGACCCAGGCCGAGGCCGCACGGGAAAUAGAGGGCAGCAGGGGUGUCGACCAGGUGCUCCCACUCGGUGUCAGCAGCGGCGGCGGGAGCGCCGCACUCGGAGCGUCGUCGCCGCGAGGUGCUGUACCGCCUGGUGGAGCUGUCCGGGAUGGGGUACGCUGGAGGUAUGAUAGAGAGGGUCAUCGACGCCUGCCGCUGCAUGACCUUCCUCGGCAUCGGUGGCUUGCUGCUCGGGCUCGUCCUAUGGGUCCUCAAUGCCUUCAUCGAUUACUACGUGCAUGGCGGAAGGAAGCUCAUCCUCGUGCGUUGGCCAGAUGUUGAAGGAGAACCUUACAUGUGGGCCCUACACGCCAACGAGUGGAGGAAAAGAGACACAACAGGGGUAUUUUGGGACAUACGAGAAUACAGGAGCCUUCAAUCAUCUACACGUGGGCCCAAGACUUUCAUAUACGUAGAAAAUGGCACGAUUCAAACUGAAGAAGAAUUAUAAUGACAUGUUUCAAAAUAGACGAAUAGUAAUGAUAUUUUUCCAAACUUAUAGAAUUAUAAUGGUAUGAAUUCAAAAACCCUUAAAAAAACUGGGGCAAACCAAGACUAGGAAAAGAAGACGCUUCUGCCUCCUGCGUCCCUCCUCUUGCUCAGCAUCGGUGCGACGGCGCCUCCAGCCAGUGGCCUGCUCGCGUCCUCGCCCCUGGCCGCCCUGCCCAGGGCCAACCGCGUCCUCGCCCAGACGCGCUCACGGCUCACCCCUCGGCUACCGGCAGAGCUCGGACCUCGGAGGCCAGACCAGGAGUCCAGAGCCCCAGAUGCGUCCGCCCCUGCUCCUGUCCAGUCCGCCUGUCCCUGCGUGGGCGUGGUUGUGAAGGGGUGAAGCCGCCAGGGGCAGGGCCCCCUGUCCAGAUUCCGUUAGGCAUCGUUUGGGAGCACAGAAUCCCUCCGGGUUCCUGUAAAUUCCCAGAGAAAGAAAACCUCGAGGCAAGCUUCCCUGAGCUAAUCCACCACGCCCUUUGGAAGCCCACUGGACGCGGGAUUGCAGCCCAUAUCCCGUCGUUUUUCACGGGGCAGGAAGCCACGAGUCAUGUGGCCGGGAGCGCAUCCCUCUCCGUUGCGUCACGCAUCUGUCCCUCGCUGACUCUGCCUUGAGUGACUGCCCAAACAACAGCAGGGAACAAAGACCCUCGGAGGAAAGUGGGCACAGGGAAAUGAAUGUAAAAAAAAAAUCCACGUCAGAGGUUUUGCUCCCUGGGAUAGGUUCCACUAACUUCCAAAGUAGCCCUUAACGUGGUGAAGUAAAGGUAUGUAUUCCUUUAAUUUUCCAGUAGUUCAGUUCUUUUUUUUCUUGAUUUUAACUGUUAAUUGUGAAUUUUUGAUUCCAACUAUACGAAGAGGACAAGAACUAUUGUGUUGUAUUUCUCUCGAGUUGGUGAACAAUUGCAACAAAUCUUCACUAGACAAUAGGUAUUUAUUUUUUAAUGUUUGUUGAUAUUUCAUAGCUAUUGUACCGUACUAUUAAUUAUACAGUUAAAGAAUUUUUUUGGAUUUGUAAAUGUUUUUUAUAUAUAUGCCUAAAGACUAUAUUCUAGGUUGUAGCUUUUGGAUUUGGCCUAGUCUUGGCUAAUUCCUGGAUCCGCCACUGGGUUUAGGGGAACUAACUCUUUUUGCCACAGUAUGAUCCGUGAAGCCUACCCAGAUAUUCUGUACGGUAUAAUAACAUUGAGCAAUUAGCUAGAUGAAAAUGGCUCCAAGAGCAAUCAAAGUCAUAAAUUAUAGUCAAGCAGCAAGCAUCUCUAAGAGCUUGACCACAUCGUACAUGAAAAUGGCAAAGCCAGUGUACGUCUCUAAGAGCUUGGCGCCAAGAUCAACCCACCAUUCCCCAACUAGGCAGCUGGUAAAACAUAAUUCACAUAAUUUCAGUCAAGUAAAAGGUAAACAAAUCAAUUAGGGGGCAUUUAGUUUCCCAUAAAAGGCAAAAUGCAAAAUGUCGGAAUAAUAGAAUGCAAAAUACCAAAUUUUUCAGGGUUAUGUUUAGUUAUUAUAUCUAAAAUGUAGAAUUUAUUGCCCUCAUAAGGGCCUCUUGAGGACGCCAAAAUUUAAAACGGAGAAUAGUCACCUUUUUGUCAAAAUUUUUAUAUGGUGUUUAAUUUCAUUAUGCAAAAUAAUAAAUCAAAAUCCAAAAUUUUUGAUAUAGAAGGCGACUAAAACAUUCCAAUGUGUCAUCUGACUCGACGACCACUUCCUCCUUGCUCUGCGAGGCCUCUUCCAUCCCCUUAGGCCAGUCUCAAUGGGAAAUUUUAUGGCGUUGUUUUCAAGACUGCCAUGUCAUGUGAAAUGAAAUAAAACUUGGAUGAAACACCCACUCUCAAUGGAGAGUUUCAUUUUAUAGUUUCAUAGACAUUUAAUUCCAAGACUCAUAAUGAGUUGGUAAUCGCGCCAAGAGAGUUUCAUCUAGAUAAAACUCAUUUCUUCUCUCUUUUCUUAAAUACACCGCCAUGUCAUCAAAAAAGCCUAUGUGGCAACCUAUUUAAUGUAAGGCCCUGUUUGGCACGGCUUCUCCAGCGGCUUCAGGAGUCGUUUGGAGCCGUUUUGUGCCAAACGGGGUAAAAUAGAAUGGCUCCACCAAUGAAGCCCCUAAAAACGUGCUCUCACAGAGCUUUGGUGUGUGGAGCCAAAAAUAGUGGCUUCUUCCGGCUUCACCUCAUUCUAUGUGGUGUUUUGUGAGAGCACAUUUUAAGGAAAGAGCCGUUCUGCCAAACGGUUUACAAAAAUGGCUCCAUCUCCAUCGAUAGAGCUGUUCAUGGAGCUGAAGCCCCAAAAAACAGCUUCACUAGUGAAGUAGAGCCGUGCCAAACGGGGCCUAAAUGAAACUCACAUAAAACCCAUUGAAACUGGCUUUAUCCUAUUUUUGCAAGGGCUCCCCCACCUCCUGCUUCAACUUCGACACCGUCUCCUUCUGUGACGUCGAGGAGGCAGUCGCCUUCCCAUGUUCCGCUUGCACAAAAACGAUCGGGCGAUCGGGCUAUUCAGUUCAAUUUAUUCAAGGUUAUUUUAGGUCUUAUUUAGUUCACCCUAAAAAUCAAAAACUUUUUAAGAUUCUUCGUCAUAUCAAAUCUUGCAGCACAUGUAUGGAGUAUUAAAUAUAGAUGAAAAAAACUAAUUAUAUAAUUUACCUAUAAAUUACGAGAUAAAUCUUUUAAGUAUAGUUAGUCCAUAAGAUAACAAUGUUCAAAUAAAAACGAAAGCUACGUUAUAAAAAAAAAUUUCAGAACUAAACAAGACCUCAGUUGAAAUACGCUCUCGGGUCUGGGCCCAGUAGCCCAAUAUUUCUCCUCGGCCGCUAGUAAUUGCAUCGCUCUCCCUCCGGGUUCUCCCGCCGGGAACGAGAUCGUCUGCGGUUGCUAGUAUAUUUAUGCUACUAUGCUAGGAGUUGCAAUUUGCCAAGCGUUUGAUGCAUGCUAGUAUAUUUAUGCUACUAUGCUAGGAGUUGCAAUUUGCAAAUUUGUCUUCACAGAUCACUCACUCACUUUUAUGGUUUUGCUGAUGCUGCAAACAUUCACAUGAAUAUCUCCAGCACUAGCUGCAGUCUGCUCUUGCAGAUAGUGACCAUGCAAUUAUCGGUUUAUCUUACAAGAAAACAAAACAUUGUAUUGAGGUCUGUGAAACCAAAUAUCUGCGACCUUCUCCCUGAGAUCAUUGCCUUUACCAUCCUCGUCGGCGUUCUUAUUGGGCCGAGGCCCACCGCGAGCAGUUGUUUGAGGGCACGAGGGGUGUAGUCACCGUCUGAUCCAUUCGACGACGCAGAUCACAUGAUUGCAGAGGACAGUCAAGAGGAGCGACUUCAGAGGAUCUCGUUCCUCCCGUAGUCCCAUCGGCCGGUUUCUGCUUCUCCCUCCCAAUCCAAAAUCUCAACCAAACCCUACCGGGCUGCGGCGUGCCGGCGUGCGCAGGGCUAGGUGAGGACGCUGGGCGCGGGCGUCUCAAGGGCGCCACCUAGGCGGACCGCGGCAGGGCGCUGCGCCUGCGCUGGGCACGUGGGCGGCCCGUGGCGGGGCCGCAGCUAGCAGCGUGCGUAGGUGCCUGCGCCGCCGGGUGGCCGUUGGCCGGCUGCUCGAGAGCGACUGGACACCAACACCGGCAGCAGCACUUCUGCAACCUACACAGGCACAGAGACAGGAGAAUGUCUGGUCGAUGGGAGUCUUCAGCAAGCCAACAACUGUGAAUCCAAUUUGUAAGCUAGGAGUAUUGGUUAAUUGGCUUUCCAUUUCAAUGUAUUAUUGAUUGCAAUUUGUGAAUAUUUGUGAAACACUGGAACUAGGACAGUAAGGUAAUGUGCAUUACUUGAGUUUGAUUUACUGAUUUUAAUCAUUGGUUUGAUGUUAGGUCUCAAACAUAAAGGCUAAGAAGUGGUACUACUAGUUUUCAGCUCAAUUCUUUGAGUGUUUGCUCAAUUAUGUGUUGUGUCUGCAGUCUGCUAUAUAUUAUACAUUUUUACUAUAAUAUGGAGAAGUGGUACUACUAAUUUUUAGCUCAAUUCUAUGAAUGCGUGCUCAACUAUGUGGCAUAUCUGCUAUAUAUUAUACAUUUACUCUUAUGCUGAAUUAGACAUGCUAAAUAUUACCCUUUAGACUAUGUACAAAAAUUCCAAACAGCCCUUCACAUUUUGAAUUCCAACUUCAAAAUCCUAGGCCCACCCUACACACAAAUCCUCCGCCACUAUGGUGGCAGCGGUGUCGGUACCGAGCCAAGCACAGGCGAUGCUUCGGGGCCGGCUUUGUGACCCGGCCUUCGUCCACUCUGCCCUCAGGUCCUCCCCGGACACCAACUACAGGUGAGCUGAAUAGAUACCCGUUCUGCCCACAUGGCUCGACGGAAAUAAUUUUGCUAAUCCACCUCCUUUUGUGCUGGGCAGCAAGCUGAAGUACCUAGUCUCCAGCUCUGUCUCUGAGGCCUGCAAUAACUCCGUCCUCCUCCUUGGUCCCCGCGGGUGUGGAAAAGCAGCGGUGAGGUUCCUUCACUGGUUCAGUAUCCUUUUCUGCUUGCUGCAGUGCAGCAGUGCUGUUUGAUGAAAUGUGCAUGUCGGCAAUUGCACAUUUGCACUCUGCAAUGCAGUGUGGAACUGUAGUUUACUUUUUUGUUUGAGAGUUCAUGUUUUCGCAGGUGGUCGACAUGGUUCUUGAUGAUCUGAACAAGGAGCACCCUGAUGCGAUUUCCGUGGUAUGGGUGCAAUGCAGCAUUCUGUUCAGUUCAAGUAUCACUAGAAAUAGGUGCUAAUUAAUUAUGCAAAUGACAAAUGAUGACUCACUUAAACCUCAUAGACAAACUUCUGUUGUGCCACUGAUUGAUGUACCAUUUGCACUUAGCUACAACAACUCGGGCAUAAGUGAUGAUUAGCGCCCCCCCCCCCCCCCCCCCCCCCUCUCCCCCUCCCUCCCCAAUCCCAGUGAUACCAUUUCGACUUUUCAUGCCAUUAGAAAGACCUCUUUGAUCAAGGAUCUUUCGGGAAAGAAGAGGCUAGGAAUGGUGGAGGACAGAAUGCCCUUUCGGUACAAAUAUGUGGUUCUUAAGCAUCAUACUCAAAUGCAUUGUUACCAGAAUUAAAAAAAAAUGGUGUGUCCUAUUUUAAAUUGGUAAUCCUGUCGACUUUGUUAUUUGCACUUUGAAUGGAUAAUCGCGGCACACCUUUUCAGAUCAGACUAAAUGGGAUGCUACAUAGUGACGACAACUGUGCUAUGAAGGUUAGUAAUUUUGGAAGCUCUAACGCAUAUUUUAUUGUUGGUUUAAUUUCUGUCAACACACUCUUCCUGUUCUCCAACCUUGGCUUAUGCCUUUCCAAAUUCUAAGUCUUUUUCCUUAACAAAUUAAGUCCAUUGUGAACUUCUUUCUUGUGAAUAAGUCUGUAAGUCCCUAACAUGCUAAUAUUAAUAGUUUUUUUCCCUUUCUGUAGGAAAUUGCUAGGCAGCUUUGUUUGGAGCAUCAGUUAUCAUUUUCAAAAAUGGUACAUUUGCUGCUUAGUUAUUGUUCUCUCUAUUUUGUAGGAAAUUCCAUUGUAGACAUGCAACUCUGAUUGUUCUCUUUUAGGCUUCUUCAGAUGAUAACACUGAGUUCAUGAUUGACAUGUUACGGUGAGCUUUACUGAAAUAAUGCCAUAAUGGAUAUUUGUAUAUUGAGCCAUAGUCUUCAGUUCAUAAUUUUUUAAAGUAAUUUCUGUUCAUUUUUUAUAUUGUCUUCUGCAGAGAGUGUGGACUAGCUCACAAGACAAUACUAUUUGUUCUAGAAGAGUUUGACCUCUUUGCUCAGGUCGAGAUAAAUAGCUUCCCUUUAUGCUUUAACUAAACUGAGUUUGUCUCAUUCCCUUUUCAUCUAUGACAGCUGCUUAAAUUCCAUUAAAAUCAUUGUUCGUGGCACAUAUGGCUAAUGGCAUGACAUGCUUUCUACUAUUGCUAUGGUCAGUUUUGACAUGAGAAGAUUACUUAUGUUCAUGUGUUUUUGUUACAGGGUAAACAGAGGUUGCUUUACAGCUUACUUGAUGCAAUGCAGUCUCUAACAUCACAAGCCGUUGUCAUUGGUGUGAGUUGCCGCUUGGUAUGAACUUACUUAAUCAUGUGUACUUUUAUUUAUUGAUAAUAUAAACUUCAAGCCUGUCAGUUGUAUGUGAUUGAUUUCUUUUUUUUGUUGAUGCCAUUUGAUUAGUAUGUCACUCUUGAUUGGUCUUUCACAAAAAAAAAUGAUGUCACUCUUUGAUUAUGUAGUAGUGAUCAUGCAGUAGAAUUUAAAGUAGUCAUAAUGCAGUAGCAUCACUUACCUUUGAUUAAGUUGACUGGCAAUUUGGAAUGUGAAUGUGCAUAACAAUCACCAUUUUACUUUAAUUUGAAGCCACCCAUGGUGUUAUAAUAAUUGUUCAAGUAAUUAUAAACAUUGCUCAAAUAAUUAUAAUAUUCAGUGGCGUUUCAUUUUUUAGGAUGCAGAUCAACUCCUAGAGAAAAGGGUUAGAUCCAGAUUCUCUCAUAGGAAGCUUUUAUUUAUUUCUCCUUCACUGGAUGAUAUACAGCGGUAUGUGCUUUCCCCAGACCCUUUAGAUUAAAAACAUGAAAUGAUCCCAAAUUCCCUUAUCCGGCUUCUUUUGUUAUUAACUAACAAAAUGCAGGUUGGUGGAACAUUUGCUUAUACUGGCGAAAGACUCAGGCUUACCAGAAAAGUAUAUCACCGAUUAUAACUCAAGACUUACUGUAUCCUUUCUAAAACCUGACUGUUAUGGGGCAUUUUGUUUGACUCUUUUCCUUUAUCUCAUCUUAGUUGAAUACUUAGCUAUUAAUGGCAUAUAAUCUUGUUAAAUGAAACAAAAGUGUUUGCUUGCUGAAAUGAAACAUGGCAGAAUUUAGCCACUAACAGAAUGGAACUGUAUUGAUAUUUUUUCAAUUGUGGAGAAACAAAAGGGUGAACAAAUUAGGCAGCACAACUGCAAAAGGUUGCACAAUAGAUUUUUCUUAUCCUAUAUGCUGCAGAGCAUUUUUAGUGAUAAGAAAUUCAAAGGAUGUCUCAACUCUCUCAUGGAUGCUGAUGCAACAACAAGCAACAUUCUAAGAUUUCUGUAGGUUUUCAGCAGCUUGUUGGUUCUUUCAUCAUAAUAACAUCAAUAUAGGUUCUGCUGAAUAUUUACAAGCAAUUCUUUCAGUUUCAGAGCUGUGUCAUAUAUGGACAUGGAAUCUGGAUUCCUGCCAAUAGAAAGCUUCCUAAAGGCCCUUUCUUCCAUGCAGAGGCAACCCAAGAUGGACAGCCUACAAGGUAUAUUUUGUUGUCUAGCCCUUAUAGUUUUAUAGUGUGUUUGUUCACUAAAUGCAAAAGAUGUGGAUUUUCUCUGUGCACCUAUUCUCUUCGUUUCUCUUAUGCAUAGCACAAUAGAGACCAACAAUGAUUUGCUUGUUUUCACACAAACUUGCUCUUAUAUUUUUCGUUCUGUAUUAGAAAAUCACAUUGGAAUGUAGUGAUGACUGAUGACAUUUUAAUGCAAUGAAAACAUUGAAACAGACCUCUCGAUUUUGGAAUUGUACAUUCUUGUGUGCAUGCACAGACUAGAAGAUAAGGAGCAAAGCUCAUACAACUUCACCAGCAUAAUGAAAGGUAGAGACUGCUCUCUUCCCUCCCCUAGCCCCCUUGUUAUCAAGGACAAAAAAGUAAACUGAGGUGAACUGUCUCAGAAUACAGAUCCAUACAAGACGCCUAUAAGACUUCUGAUAAAUAUGCAAGCACUGUUUGUUUUAGGGUAAGCACUACCAGCAUCGACAAUCAGUGGGUCUUCUAUUGCAUUAGAUAUUCAAAACUUACACACUUGUUUGUCGCAGGCCUUCGAGCAUCUUUUGGAUAGAGAGCUGAUCAGUUUUGGUGACAACAGAGGGAGAAACCAGGCGCUUGAAUACCGACCUGUUAAGCUCCUUGUAUCCUCCCGCGAGCUCGCUCAGUCCCUCAAGCUGAACACCACCUGCCCUGUGAGUCACUCCAUGUGAUUGGACCUUAGCGAUUUUCUUCUAUUAUAUUACUGUCUGUCAUUGUUGUUCUGUAAUAUCAUUUCCAUAAUACGACUGUCACCGUGUUACAACUUCCCGCUAAUGGCAAUUGUUAUUUUGCUUUUGUAGGCUGUACUACAGAAGCUGUUUGAUCGUGAAAGAUACAUGUAGAACCUCUCCUCAGCUGGCCGCACUUCACUGACUUGGAGUUGCCGGCUUGCCGCUUUCUUGUUUCACUGGGCUAAUUCCGCUGUCAAGUUCAUGAAUGUGGACGCGUUGUCAGGUCGAUGCGUUGUUUUGUAAAACGGCGAUUGUAUUGGUAUCUGUCCACUGUUCGUUGGAGUUGGAAAAGGUGUGGGCCGUGUGGCCAACUGCCUAGCUCGGUUGCAUCGCAUGACUUGUGUGACCUGCAUGUCAGUCACUUGACCAGAGUCCAGAGGCCACAGGGAGUUAAAUAUUUAUUCAUUUGUUGUACUGAUUGUGGGCUAACGAUCUUGAUCUGCAUCUCGCACAAGUUUAGCAGCGUGGUGAAUGUGAUAUUUUUGGUAGCUUUGAGAUGCAUGCAUUAUUUGGAGUUUAACGCAAAUAAAUAAAAUAAAUUGAUUCAAAUAUAUAUAUGUUUGUGUUUAGGAAUUGUUUAGUUCACCCUAAAAUCUAAAAACUUUUUAAGAUUUUCUGUCACAUCAAAUUUUAUGUCACAUGCAUGGAGCACUAAAUAUAAAUAAAAAUAAUGACUAAUUGAACAAUUUCUCUGUAAUUUGUGAGAUGAAUCUUUUGAGCCUAGUUAGUUUAUGAUUGGACAAUAAUUGUUAAAUAUAAAUGAAAGUGUUAUAGAUGAAAGUGUUAUAGGACUAAAAUCCAAAGAGUUUUUGGAUCUAAACAAGACCUUAAUCUAAAACAAUAACAAAAUUGCUUAGCCAGACACCUUUAACGUGUCCGCAGGCCCUGGGGUAUUGUGUUCUUUGGCAUAUAGUCUCAUUUAUUAUAUUUUGUAGAUUCUAAAAAAAAUUAUUUUGUAUAUGUAGCGAGACGCUCUUGGAAUCUAAGUAGAACAGAGGCAAUUAGAGAGGUAGAAUAUGCAUAAAAAAUCUAUGUAUGUAAAAAGACUAAAACGCCUUAUGAUUUGGUCGUCUUAUGAUUUGGAAUGUAUAAGACUUUGGAACGAUGGAAGUUGCUACUUGGGCGGAGCAGAGACCUUUGCUAUCACUGUUGAUAACACACCCCCUCCCCCCCCACUUCAAUGAGACUUGAACUCGGGCGGGCAGGUUUCAGCAUAAGAAACCAACCAACUGAUCUAUGAUUAUUCUCCUUUGAGAAUAUGUUUGGCUUCCUACCAAAUUUAUAAUCAAGACAACUUUUAAAAAAAUCAAAUUGGUGUUUAUGAAGUUAGCCAACUUUGUUCAUAGGGAAUGGACUAAGAGAAGACCACCACCAAACUGUAUCUGCAGCAGAAAAAAAGUGCAGCCGAUCAUUUGAACUGUGGCCGUAAAAAAAAGCGAGUUCAUUUGCACUCUAGACAGUAGAAAUCAGCUGCAGCAUCUAAUUACUCGCUGCGGAGGCACAGCGAUCAGCGAAUAUGUGCUGCUGCGCAGCAGCAGUUCGGAUCAGACUGUCAGCAUGCAAGCAAAUCAUGGUCAAAAUUGUUCAAAGUUGGUCAAAAUUUUGCUUGACUAGCUUGGCACAACUACGUCAGCAAAUUCGCGACACGAGCCGGUGUUGGCCUCGGACACAAAACAGAACAUACUCGAGGCCAUAUACGCAAAAGUGUGCUACCAGGUCUACUGCUCGAACUAACCAGAAAGAUGGCGGCGGCGGCGGCGGGCGGCGGGCUCUCCGGCGACGUUCCGAUAUUCCACGCGGAAAACCUCGUCAGCAACGUCAAAUCAAUCAACUACAGGUUCGUAUCACCCUCGUCUCCUUUACAAAAUUUGGAUUACCUAAAUCUGAUGUAGUCAGUAGCUAGUAGGCAUGUCUAGGUUUCGUUUGAUCUCGAUUCAGAUUUGUGCGACGGAGACUCUCAUAUACGGCAAGUAUCUUGCUGGUUUAUGAUUAAACUCUAGUUCAUAAUAUAGAUUCACAGUGUAGGGUCGACAUUUUAGUUAUGUGUUGUUGAUUGACAGGCGAGGAUAAAAUAGUUUUGGCACUAGAAUUAUGGUUAGAGCUGCAGAAGAUGCUGAGUUUGGUACGGCGAGUGGAUAAGGAAGCAAUGAGACAGUGAAAUUAGGAUUUCGCAACCAAAUAUUCAAAGUACCAGCUCUUUCGAGUUAAUCACUGUAUAUGGGGGUCUGAACGUUCAGCGUUCUGUUGAAAAAUAAUUGAAGCUCUUUGUUUUGUGAUUGAGAGUUCGAACUUCACUUCAUUUAGAUUAUGCGAGUAACAGAUCCAAAGAAAGUUAAGCAAAUGCAGAGGAGUUGAAUAUUACCUUUUUUUUUGUUGAAUUUAGAAACAAAUCAAAGAAAUGAGCAGAUGAGAGAAGUUGAGUGGUAUCAUGUGUUCAUGUGCCUCAUACUCAUGUUCUAUACCAAUGACAUUCUAUUUUGAGCUCAUCCUCCAAACAUAUUUUUAAAACUUCAAAUGCAUAGUUGUCCAAUUUAUGUUGAAAGUUGUUACACUAAUUCCAGUAUCUAAUAAAUGGUUAGUGGACAUGUUGUAACUCCCUUAGCAGGCUAUGCUUGUCACCUAAAAGCUCUGAAAGUUUUCAUGUGAAGAUUUGCUUUUCUACUUCCUGGUCAACUAGAUACUGAAUUAACAUGUUUGUUACUAUCAAUCUUUUCAUAGCUGCAUCUGCCUUCUUGAUAUUUCAUUUAUAACGUUUUACCCUUUUACACCAAGCUGACUUAAGGACAUUUUCUGUGCCUUUCAGCCGGACAUUCUUGUCAAUCAUUAGUGGAGUUGUUGCUGGAAUAUGGGGGUUUACAGGCUUGAUGGGAUUUGUGUUCUACUUUCUUGUGAUGAUGGUUGCAUCUCUAAUGCUUCUGGUGAAGGCCAAAGUUUCGGUCCAUACAUACUUUGACAGUUGGAACAGGAUUAUAAUUGAAGGAGUUCUUGGGGGCCUGAUGGUAAGAAAUAUUGGUGCUGAGAAAAGCUAUUGAAAUUUAUUAUAGGAAAAUCAUAUGGCGCCCUUGUUAGCUAAUAAAGGACCAAAAUAUCAUGUUACAAUGUUUGAAAAAACAUCACAAAAAUCAUGUAUGUAGUACAUCUAAAGUUAAGUGUAGCGCAACAAUUCAGAUUGAAAUUCACCUUUGAUGCUGAGAUUAAAAAAAAACAGAAGUGUCACUGUCAACACAUGAUGAACAGUGCCAGGUUGAUUGCUUGUCUAUUUUGUUUCUUGGCAUCUAAGAUGAAUUUUAAACUGAACCGUUGCGGCUAUACUUAACUUUAUGUUUGCUACAUACAUGAUUUUUGUGAUGAUUUUUAAAACAUUGCAACAAGGUGAUUUUGCUAACGAUGGCGCCAGCCCCACUGGGAAUCAAAUCUGCACUCUUUAUUAUUUCCUUUAUCAUUCACCAGAAGUUCAAAACAUAGUGAUGUCAAAAUUAUGAAUUCUAUUGAACAAUUUCAUGUGUGAUAUCUUGAUCAACAUACUACUUUGUUGAAGAGGAUUGGAGCAAGUCUAGGAUAUAGUGAGCCAUAAAAUGUAGAGCAUUCUAUUACUUUUUCUACUGUAAUGACACUUGCUUUUAAGCUAGGGUAGUAUUCCGUUAGCAAGGGUUCACUUCCUUGUUAAAGGUACCCAAUAGGUUCCUCUUCUGGUGAUAUUUGCUCCCAUUCUUACUACUGAGUAUUUUUUUACAAUUACAUGUCUUUUUAUUUUAUAAUGUUCUCACAUUUUUUUUCCUUUCUAUUUUGCAGUCUUUCGUGUUGUUUUGGACGUAUCCUUGAUACUGUAAGACUUUAUUAUCGUUCUAACUUCUAAUAUAUGGCUCCAAUAUUUUUUUUUUUGCUAUGUUUGUGUUGAUAGGUUUCAUUCACUUAACACUUAGCAACAUAGUAUUGUGACUACCAAAUUCUUUAUAGCAGUGGCAUAUAGUAGUGUUGCGGGAUUAUUCUGUUGUAGGCGCUUCAUCUAAGGAUGUCUGAUGUGAUGCGUGUUGUAGACUUGUAUUUUGUUGCACCUAUUUUGUGUAAUGAUUCCCCUAGCUUUCUGUUGAAGUAGCCAUAUGUCAGCAUAUACCCUCGAGUUCAUCCUUAACAUGAUCAGAUUUGCCUAUGACAUUGUCCACAUCUUCUGAUGGAUGAAACAAGAGCUCUCAGAAGAACUGGGGAACCAUGUGAUCCCUCCUUGUAUGAGACAGAAUCAAUGUGUAAUUGCGCCUACUCUGCCAUCUGGGGACUAUGUUCAGUGGACAACCGUCCUCAAUUGGUUUGUUGCUGUAUACUAAACCUGAACUUUAGGAAGCUGAUAGCCUAUAAAUGAACUCAGGUUAGCAGAGUUCCAGACUCAUGUAACUCCACAGCUGUCAGCAAGCUCUGCAAAAUGGCCAUGCAGUAGAGCACGCAAUUUGUAAUAAAAUGGGCAUUAUGGUUGCCCAGGUUACUGACCAGAACAUAUGAAACAUAUAACCACUCCCUCCAU